GGGCUGUGUGACUCUGUGUACUCUUAGCUACUAUUACUUUUUUUUUUUUUAAAACAGUUUUGGUAGCUCCCAAUAUGACAGGUUUCAAUUCUGGGUUUGCCCCAUCUCACCCUCUAUCCCCUACAUGAGUUAUGCUGCAGAAAAAUAUUUUAACUUUGCUUAAUUGCAAAUUAGAUCAUCAGUAGACAGGGUACCUGGUUUUCCUGGGUGUCCUCUGCACCAAUGUAGAGAUAGCAGUCUCUGCCUUUUGUGCUCCAAUCCUGGUUUUUGGGUCCCGUGAUUUUCUCCGAUGUCAGAGCCAUGUCACCAAAGUGAUCCAUCCCAUCAAGUUGACCUAGUGUCUCUUUCAAGUUUAGUAAGCAGAAUUGAAGUGUGUACUUAACAUCAUUGCAAGUUUUAAUGAAGUUUUCUAGAUCUCCAGUACCUUUUUGUAAAUCUUUUGCUGAAUGAGGGUAAGCCAGUGGCAGAGGCUGCUACUCUGACUCUGGGCUCAUUUCCUAGAAGAAACUUGGGCUAUCCUCAGUCAGGUAGAACUUGCCUGGGACAUGGUACAUGUUGAUUUUCAGUGUAAUUCUCAUGGUUAUGGCCCUGUGGAAUGUUCUUUUAAUGUUUGGGAGACACCCAAAGGGGACCAGAGCUUUCUUCUCCUUAGGAAACCUUCCCUGACUUACACUAUUUCAAUGGGCAGCCAAUGAGUCCAUGAGGACCAGGGCACUCGCAUGGCCCUUCCCCACUCCUCUUUCCUAAAGCAUUUUAGGAACAAGAGCUUGUCAGAAAUUAGAGUGCUAGCAGGGCUCCCCAGAAUACAGUACCUCUCCUCAGGUCUGGCUCAGGUUACUUUGUUCUUUGUCCAAGUCUUUUCCUGGUGACAGAACCUCUGCUAACCUUGGCCCUCCUCUGGAAGUGAGCGACAGCUUAGCCACUGAAGAAAGAGUUCUCCUCAGGAGAACCUUUCCAUGGAAUAAGGAGAGAAGUGGGAGAGUGGGAAAUUAGAGCAGCAAGAAGCAUGAGAUGGGAGAUGUUUUCUAGUCUUCAUGGGGCAGUCUUGGAUGCUGGCAGGAUGGCUUCAUGGGGGGCAUGAAAUAGGAAAAUGUGAUAUUUAUUAUAAAUGUGUUUGGAGCAAUACAUGCUUUAUGGGGAAAAAAUCCCAUUCUUUGCAGGAAGCUGCACUCCCUGACCUAAGAGGUUUUUGUCCUUGUCUAAUUCAUCUGGUUAAAUCAAAGUUUGUGACUUAAGAAGAAAUGUCUCCAGAGACUAUGGAUCCAGUGGAGGAAAGUCAAAGGAAGAUCAAAUGUUACUUUAAUGUAUAUUAUAUUUUAGAAAACAGUCAGUCCAUAAAACAAAUAGCACACACAUGCAAGAUUUGAAGUCUGAAAGAUCUAAAAUAGAAUCUCUACUUUGUUACUUUCUGUGUCAUGUUGUGCAAUUUGUAUAUUCUCUCUGAACAUCAGUUUUCUUAUCUACCAAAAAGGGACAACAAUAAUAUUACAGGGCUUUAGUUAAUAAAAGCCUUAUUUUAUGUUUAUGAAUACUUAUUUCAGAAAUAUAAGAAUAUAAGUAAGAUGUGUAUAGUGGACAAAAACAGUAAUUUUAAUUAUUAUUAUUUAGGUCCUAUAAAUAAUAAGGGGUCCCAAAGUCAAAAAAGGGGUGGAUGAGAAUAGAAAUAUUAAACUCUAGGAUGACGAGUUCCUUUAAAACAUAGGGUAUGUUAAAAUUCAUUUCAAGUUUAAAGUACAAAAGCCAUUUUGGGGGGAAUGGGAGAAAAGUCGGUGGCCUUUAGUUAGGGUGCUGUCCAGGGAGCAGCCUGAGUUUCAAAGGGUAGCCUUUCUCCCACCUCCUUGACAGAGGGAGCCCCCAGAGGGAGGAGUGGAAGGUUCUUGAGAGGACGUAGCUCUUUAAACUCAUGUUUCCAUCCCAAGAUAUUUUAAGAGUCUGGCAGUUAAGGAGACUCUCUUUGGUUAAUAGGAAGGCUUGCAAGGGUAUUCUUAGAGUCCAAUUACAGGAGUUUAGUUCUAUUUAGUUCAUUUGUUGCUCAACUUAAGGCAAAGAAGAAAGGGUCUAAUGACUCAGAUAGCAGUAGUAACAUAAUUUAACUCUUUCACCAAGAUCUUCAUGAUGAGGCAAAUUUUGCUCAGAUGACAUUUGAUCAGCGUACCAAAUGGCCCAGAUUCACACAGUCUGAUCACUCCCAUGAGUCUGUAGCACUAAGAUCUAUUUUCCUCCCCUUUAUUUUAUGAUGUAAAUCCCCAUUCCCACAAAAAAAAGCUUCUUUACAGUCUCCAGACCCAGGGGUUUGAUCACUUAUCCCCCUGUCCCUCCAGUUCUCACAGGUCUCUCCUUCCUUUGACCACUUCUGUUAGCAUGGCUGAUAAUUGUUGCAUUGGGGUGAUUUUUCUCUCCUUAACUAGACUGAAAAUAUAAGAGCUGGGCAUACUAUCUUCCUUUUUGGUACUUCCCAUAGUAUAGAUAAUUGGAGGUGCUCAAUAAUUAUUGAUUAUAUGAUUUUGGGCACAAAUGUUAGUAUGAUAGUGUGCUGAAGUGAAAUAAAUUUAUUUAUUGAACUAUCACAAAAAUAACAUGCAAAGAAAGUAUGUAGGAUGUGGAGCAAGAUGGCAGAGGGGUAAGAGGUCACACUCACCCUCUCCCACAUAUACAUCAAAAAAAGCCACAUCUACAUGUAAAGCGACUCACACAGAACAUCAACUGAAUGCUGACAGAAGAAAUUAAACCUCAAAAAAAGGGCAAGAAACUCUUGACAUAACUGGCAAAAACAAAGGAAAAAAAAAAGAGAGUGAGAGAAAAGGAGUCAGGAUGGCACUAGCAUUCCAGAGAGGGAGCUGAGUAGGAGAAAAUGGACCUACACGCUAGGAAGCCACCUAACCCACAGAAAGAUCAGCCAAGCUGGAGGGGCCUCAAAGUCACUGAGAAAAGUGCAGCAGUGGGACUGAGAAUGGAAAAGCAGAAUGAGAGUCACACAGAUCAUCUGAACUACCAGCCCAGAAACCAUAGCCUGAGAUGCUUCGGGUGGGGGCUGGAUGCUGAGAUUUAGAUUCUGGAGGUCAUUCCCAGAAGAGGGCUGAGGUUGGUGGUGUGGAGACAGCCUAAGGGGAUAAGGAACAAUGCGCCACAGGCAGGGAAGUGGGUACACCACAGGCUUGGGAGUGAAACACCAGGGCAGAGGGAACCCAGGAGAAAGUCGGGACAGGUAGGAGAGGCAAAGCACCAUUGUUGGGGAGAGAGAGAAGAGGAGGGGAAGAUUGCCAUAGGAAACUCCUUGUGCUGGAGCGCAUGCAUAUAUCUGCAGGCUUGCAGAGGGUGGGGCUGUCCAGGGCAAGAAGCCACUUGCUGGUAUGUAGCAGACCAGAUGGCUCUGGUGCAGACCACCCGUGGUGUGAAGCCACUUGCUAGUCCACAGUGGAUAAGAUGUCUCUGGUACAGGCAGCCUGCGGUGUAGACCUUCUUGCUAGUCUUCAGGAGACCAGAUGGCUCUGGUGCAGACUAUGCUGAGAGAAGCCUCUUGCUUGUGUCUGAGGGAUUGGGUGCUUCUAGUGCAGCCUACUGGUGGCCAGGCACCUCUAAUGUGGGCUAAGGGCAUCAGGGGGCAAAGCGUGAUGCAGUGCUCACCAAGCACCACACACUGUUGCUCUUGCUCCCCUGGGAACAUACCCAGCUGCCACCGCCAAAUGCUCUGGGUGGUGUCCAGACACUUGGUCACUGUCCCUUCCCAAGACCACACAACUAGGAGCAGUGGGUGCAGCACCUCCUGCAUGGUCUAAGUGGGACAGGGGGCUUCUUGUGUGGCCUGCAGUUGGAGGAGGCAAACCACCACAGUUAUCCCUGACUCCAGAGGUGGGCAUGGCACACUGCCACUGGGGAUACCUGAACAAAAAUCACUUGCAACCCCAACCACCUCAGAGGGCAUCACAGAGAAGGACAUUAUGACAAAAUACCACCUGUUAUUGUUCCUGCUCCCCCGGUAGAACACCAGCCCUGCUGCUGCCACUGCCAAACACUUGUUCACUGUCCCUUCCCAGGAACAUGCAACUAAGAGCAGCUUGUGCAGCAUCCUGUGGGGGCUAAACAGGAUGAGGUGUUUCUUGCAUGGUCUACAGAAGGUGGGGGAAAACCGCCACAGUUAUUUCUGGCUCCAGAGGUGGGAGUCGCCCGCCUCAACUAGAGGUCCAUGAACAAGCACUACUUGCAGCCCCAACCACAUCAAGGGCACCCAUAAGAGGGCACUGUGACUGAAUACCACCUGUUGGUGCUCUCACCCCUGGAAACAUACUGGCCCUGAUGCUGCCACUGCUGAAUGCUCUGGACAGCACCCAUACACCUGAUCUAUGUAACUUUCCAGGAUCCUUCAACCAGGAACAGCCUGUACAGUACCUCCUAUGUGGGCUAAGUGAGAGGGGUUGCUUCUUGCAUGGUCUACAGGUGGUGGGGGCAAACCACCAAAGUUAUCACUGAUUCUAGAGAAGCUCAUGGCCCACUUCCACUAGGGGUCCCUGAACAGGAACCACCAGUGGUUCCACUCACCUCAGAGGAGGGCAUUGCAAUUGAAUGGUGGCUGUUGUUACUCUCACUCCCAUGGGAACUCACGCACCCUGCUACUGCUAUUGCCAAAUGCUCUGAUCACCUUGUAGAUUGGACUAGGGUUCAUUAUCACUUCUCAGGCCCUGCAACAAGGAGUAGCCAGUGCCACCUUCCUGCAGGUCCUUGCUACUGGUGAGAGCCCAGCAACCAGGCACAGACUAUUGGCCCUACCCAUUACUUCCUUUUCCCUGAAAACACACUGAGCAUCCUGGGGAUAGUAGCCUGCUCAUACCAAAGAGAGACAGCAAAUAAUCAAACUCCCACGCCAAAAAUAAAUAGUAACCCCCCCCCAAAAAAAAAACCACAAAGGGGUUAUCUUGUUUAGAAGUAGCCUUAUAAGACUACAGUUUGGCUUCCCCAAACUCACAGAAAAAGAAAAGCAUAAGCAAGAUAAAGAAGCUCAGAAACAAUUCCUAGCUAAAGGAAUAGGAGAAUUCACCUAAAGCAGUCAACAAUGAAACAGACCUCUGCAGUCUGACAGACAGUGAGUUCAAAAGCACGACAGAGAAAAUACUGGAGGAAUUAAGGUUGAAUAUCAAGGAAUAAGAGAAGACACAAACAGUAAUGCAGAUGCCAUUAGAAAGGAACUAGAAAAUAUAAGAAGGAGCCAAGAAAAGCUAGAAAACUCAUUUGCAGAGAUGCAAACUGAGCUACAGACAAUAAAGAGCAGAUUGGAUAAUGCAGAGGAAUGAAUUAGUGACCUGGAAGAUAGAAUAAUGGAAAUCACACAAUCAGGACAGCAGAAAGAAAACCAAACGCAUAAACAUGAAAGCACUAUAAGAGAUCUAUGGGAUAAUAUAAAGUGGGCCAAUCUAUGCAUAAUAGGAAUUCCAGGAGGAGAAGAAAAAGAAAAGGGGAUUGAAAACAUAUUUGAAGAAAUUAUGGCUGAAAAUUUUCCAAAUCUAAAGGAUACUGAUAUCAAGAUACAGGAAGCACAGAGGGCCCCAGGUCCACACCAAGACAUAUUAUAAUAAAAAUGGCAAGAGUUAGAUAAAGAGAGGAUUCUAAAGACAGCAAGAGAAAAGCAAAGCAUUAAUUAUAAGGGAAGCCCCAGAAGGCCAUCAGCUGAUUUCUCUACAGAAACACUACAGGCCAGAAGGGAGUGGCAAGAUAUAUCUAAAGUGCUGAAAGGAAAAAAUUUGCAACCUAGAACACUCCACCCAGCAAGAAUAUCAUUUCAAAUAGAAGGGGAAAUAAAGAAUUUCUCCAACAAACAAAAGCUAAAAGAGUACAGCAAUACUAAACCCAUUCUAAAAGAAAUUCUGAAAGGGCUUCUCUAAAUAAAAUAAAAAAUAAAGAAGUAAGAAGAAAUAGAAUGGAGUAAACCACAAUUGGAAAGCAAUCACUUCAAAAAGCCAGCAUACAGAUCUAAACAUGAAGAUGCUCAAAAUAAAAAAAUGAAUAAAUAAAUAAAUAAAUAAAUAAGAAAGACAUCAAAAUCUUACAAUAUGGGGAGGGAUAAUAGGAUAAUUUAGAUUCUUUUUUAAAAAUUGAAAAAACAAUUAAUGAUGUGUUUGAGCCUAUAUGGUUAUCAGUCUAAAGCAAGCAGAUAUAGGAAAGGGUUAACAUACUUAAAAAAGAGGGCAACCACAAAUUAAACUGAACAUCACAUUCACAAAAACUGAAAUGAAAAUUACUCAAGCAUAAAAUAAAUGGAAA
Molecule: long non-coding RNA, 6252 nt
Filed under: Sus scrofa (pig)
Lineage: Eukaryota; Metazoa; Chordata; Mammalia; Artiodactyla; Suidae
Description: lncRNA (ENSSSCG00000058081.1)
Source: RNAcentral